This 324-nucleotide unclassified non-coding RNA is filed under the name soil metagenome. RNAcentral's name for it is "partial contains 5.8S ribosomal RNA, internal transcribed spacer 2, and large subunit ribosomal RNA". The stretch from base 1 to 120 matches the Rfam family "5.8S ribosomal RNA", at positions 35 to 154 of the family's 154-position model. The record is from RNAcentral.
GAUGAAGAACGUAGCGAAAUGCGAUAAGUAGUGUGAAUUGCAGAAUUCAGUGAAUCAUCGAAUCUUUGAACGCACAUUGCGCCCCUUGGUAUUCCAUGGGGCAUGCCUGUUCGAGCGUCAUUUGUACCUUCAAGCUUUGCUUGGUGUUGGGUGUUUGUCCCGAGGGACUCGCCUUAAAGUAAUUGGCAGCCAGUGUUUGGUUUUGAAGCGCAGCACAAGUCGCGAUUCAAGGCUACACGCCCGCUUCCACAAGCCUUUUUUCACUUUUGACCUCGAAUCAGGUAGGGAUACCCGCUGAACUUAAGCAUAUCAAUAAGCGGAGGA